RNAcentral lists this ribosomal RNA (377 nucleotides) under uncultured bacterium. RNAcentral describes it as "bacterial SSU rRNA". It matches the Rfam family "Bacterial small subunit ribosomal RNA", at positions 524 to 898 of the family's 1533-position model. The record is from RNAcentral.
GACGUAGGGCGCGAGCGUUGUCCGGAUUUAUUGGGCGUAAAGAGCUCGUAGGCGGCUUGUUGCGUCGUUCGUGAAAUCCCGUGGCUCAACUGCGGGCUUGCGGACGAUACGGGCAGGCUAGAAUUCGGUAGGGGAGACUGGAAUUCCUGGUGUAGCGGUGAAAUGCGCAGAUAUCAGGAGGAACACCGGUGGCGAAGGCGGGUCUCUGGGCCGAUAUUGACGCUGAGGAGCGAAAGCGUGGGGAGCGAACAGGAUUAGAUACCCUGGUAGUCCACGCUGUAAACGUUGGGCGCUAGGUGUGGGGGGCCUCUCCGGUUUCCUGCGCCGUAGCUAACGCAUUAAGCGCCCCGCCUGGGGAGUACGGCCGCAAGGCUAAA